RNAcentral lists this ribosomal RNA (283 nucleotides) under unidentified marine bacterioplankton. RNAcentral's name for it is "partial 16S ribosomal RNA". It matches the Rfam family "Bacterial small subunit ribosomal RNA", at positions 29 to 339 of the family's 1533-position model. The record is from RNAcentral. RNAcentral also lists the same sequence under 1 other name.
AAUGAACGCUGGCGGCAGGCCUAACACAUGCAAGUCGAGCGAAGUCUUCGGACUUAGCGGCGGACGGGUGAGUAACGCGUGGGAACAUACCCUUUGGUACGGAAUAGCCUCGGGAAACUGGGAGUAAUACCGUAUGUGCCCUUCGGGGGAAAGAUUUAUCGCCAAAGGAUUGGCCCGCGUUGGAUUAGGUAGUUGGUGGGGUAAUGGCCUACCAAGCCGACGAUCCAUAGCUGGUUUGAGAGGAUGAUCAGCCACACUGGGACUGAGACACGGCCCAGACUCC